Molecule: ribosomal RNA, 773 nt
Filed under: uncultured Neocallimastigales
Lineage: Eukaryota; Fungi; Neocallimastigomycota; Neocallimastigomycetes; Neocallimastigales
Description: partial large subunit ribosomal RNA
Rfam family: Eukaryotic large subunit ribosomal RNA
Source: RNAcentral
UAGUCUCGCACAGAUGCAUAUCAAUAAGCGGAGGAAAAGAAACUAACAAGGAUUCCCCUAGUAACGGCGAGUGAAGCGGGAAGAGCUCAAAUUUGAAAUCUUAAAGGGUUUCCCUUUACGAAUUGUAGUUUAUAGAAGUGUUUUCUGUUGAGGUUUUGGUAAAAGUUCUUUGGAAUAGGACAUCAUAGAGGGUGAGAAUCCCGUAUUUGACCUUUACUUUCAACUUUGUGAUACACUUUCAAAGAGUCGGAUUGUUUGGGAAUGCAGUCCAAAAUGGGUGGUAAAUUUCAUCCUAAAGCUAAAUAUUGGCGAGAGACCGAUAGCGAACAAGUACCGUGAGGGAAAGAUGAAAAGAACUUCGAAAAGAGAGUUAAACAGUACGUGAAAUUGUCAAAAGGGAAGCGUUUGACACCAGUGUUGUUUUUCUGAAAAUCAAUUAAAGAACUGUUUAUGCUAAGUUGUUUAGACUUUAUCAGCUAACUGUUUAGUUUUGAGCUUUUCUUUAAUGCACUUUUCAGUUAACAAGUCAACAUCAAUUUCUUUUGCUGUAAAAAAGCUUGAGGAAGGUGGCUUGAGAUUCGUCUUAAGUGUUUAUAGCCUCUUGCCUAUGCAGUCGGAGAGAUUGAGGUCUGCAGCGUAGAUCCUUCGGGGCUAAAUGCAUUUGUGCUAAGUUAUAGCAUUUUAUAGACAACUUGUUGACUAUGAUUUGUCUUGUAGCUUACUCGCUUAUGUUAUUUUACCUACGCUUAGGAUGUGACAGCAGUAUAGACUGU